Molecule: ribosomal RNA, 312 nt
Filed under: uncultured Coxiella sp.
Lineage: Bacteria; Pseudomonadati; Pseudomonadota; Gammaproteobacteria; Legionellales; Coxiellaceae
Description: bacterial SSU rRNA
Rfam family: Bacterial small subunit ribosomal RNA
Source: RNAcentral
GAACGCUGGCGGCAGGCCUAACACAUGCAAGUCGAACGGCAGCGGGGGAGCUUGCUCCCUGACGGCGAGUGGCGGACGGGUGAGUAACACGUAGGAAUCUACCUUAAUUAUAAUAGUUAGUGGGGGAUAACCCGGGGAAACUCGGGCUAAUACCGCAUAAUCUCUUCAAAGCAAAGCGGGGGAUCUUCGGACCUCGUGCUAUGAGAUGAGCCUGCGUCGGAUUAGCUAGUUGGUAGGGUAAUGGCCUACCAAGGCGACGAUCCGUAGCUGGUCUGAGAGGACGAUCAGCCACACUGGGACUGAGACACGGCC